This is a long non-coding RNA of Pangasianodon hypophthalmus (striped catfish), 4237 nucleotides long. RefSeq lists it as uncharacterized. The record is from RefSeq and is a predicted model, not a curated record. NCBI's taxonomy places the organism in Eukaryota, Metazoa, Chordata, Actinopteri, Siluriformes, Pangasiidae. The transcript is spliced from 5 exons.
UUCCACAGAACGCAGCUUUAACAGACUGCAUAAGGCUACUUUACAUCUCCUAUAAGGACAAUGACUUUUAAGAUGAUGCACCAUAGUUUGGAAACUUGUUGCCUCUUUUAAUGUCAUUCCGUAUGUGUGUCAUGCUUAUAGCCACCAGGUCAUCAUGAUGCUUUUUGAUCGUUUAACAGGGACCAUAGUUUUCGUGUGUGUAUCAAUAACACCAGGUAUGUCAUGUUUGGUAUGUGUGUGAUCACUAUUGAAUUUCCUAAGGGUUGGUAUAAUGUAAAGUUGAGUACGAUGUAUUACAUGCAUGUUACCAAAUUCCUUAACAAAGUUCUAACUUAACCUUAUGCAAAGUUUGCAAAGCACAUAACUCAGAGACCAGAAUGUUAAUUAGUGUCAGAGGAGGAGAAUACAGUUUACACCCUGCCCCAAGAUCCUGCUGAUUGGAGCAAACACUUUGGGGUCAGCCCAACUGGAAAGGGUUAAAACCCCCUGACACAAAGGAAACUCUGAGUCUCAUCCAACACACCUCUGCAAGAGUCUCAUCCAAUCCAUCUUCCAAGAGUCUCAUCCACUACAUCUCUGCAAGAGUCUCCAUCCACAUCUGAAGGAAGUCUCAUCAACCAAGAGCUUUAGAAGUUCAUCACAAGGAGAUCACGCUUGCUCCGAGACUGCAUCCAGACUGGUUCUUGCAAAGCUUCCAACUCUCGGCUUCGCACCGCUGUGAACCACUCUUCAAAGUUUUGCAACCCGCCUACGAGACUCCGCCGGGUUCGCGCCUCACUCUGUUUAUCUUCCUCAUUGGUCUUUCGAGACACUGCAUAAGGCCAACCAGACCGCCGACCAAUCAACAUCGCCGGAAACUCCUUCCAAACAACAACGCAACGAGGGAAUCCCUGGCAACACAAACGCAAUGCCGGCAUCCCCUUCAUCUCCAUUCAACUGGCCACCAUCGACUGUGUCUCCAUCAGCAGGCCCAGCACCCGCUACAUCUGAACCAACAGCUGACAAGGACAAAGGAGCCAUGGGAGUAGAUUACAAGAAACUUGCUAAAGAAGUAUUGGCAUUAUCAACUGGUGGCACUGACGACAUGUACCGAGACAUCUGGUGAGGGUCCGACUCAGCCAGGUAUCACCAGGUCAAACCGCCAGCAUCAACCUUUUCAGUGGGCCCCGCUCCAAAUGCCCUGAUCCAAUUCCCACAACCACGGACUGGACAGACUAUCGAGGGUGGAAGAGUUCAUCCCAAAGUCAUGUAUGUUUACAGGCCUCUUGAACAGUCUGAAUUGGACUCAGUGGUCAAAGACAUCACAAGUUGCACAAUGCGUAAAGGACUUGGUCCUUCAAUGAUAUGUUCAAAAUGACCAACCAGGAGUGGACUAAAGUCAUGGCUAGUGUUUUUGGGAACAAAGACACAGUGAGCACACCCAUGGGAUCCAGCAGCAAAUAGAGAUCCAAAUAGCCGUCCCAUCAACUUGACACUCCUGAUGCAACAAAUCCGUGACACUUUCCCCAUAACCAGAUACUGGGAUAAAGUCAAAAACUGCAUACAAAUAACUGGAGACACAGUGGAGGAAUUCACUGAAUGUGUAGCUGAAGCUCUGAACAAUGGCCUGAUGAACAAUUAUGACAGAAGAACAAUACAUAAGGCAAGUCCUGGCUCAGGGAUUGGAUAAGAAGAUCUUUUUUUGCAAGAGUUCCUGCACUGGCUUGCAAAACUGAUCUGAUGACUAUACUGAUCUGAUGGCUCAUGCUAUCCAUGCUGAGAGACCCCUGAGAGAUAAACAGAGCAAGGCUCAAAACUCCCUUCAGAUGGCACAACUCCAGUUUUAUUAUUAAGCCUAAUGAUGGCCUCCUUCACUUGCAUUGAGAUCUCCUUGGACUUCAUAUUGGUAGCUCCAGCCGAAAAGCUGCCAAAUGCCAACUCAGGACCUGAUAUCAACUCCAGACCUUUUAUCUGCUUCAUUUGUCUUGAAGUAACAAGGGAAUGGACCGCACGUGGUCAAUUAACUUCUUGUCAGUCAAUUGUCCAAAUACUUUGCUUAAAAUGGCUGUAAUUCCUGAAUGGUAAAUGCCAUAUUUUUGUGCAACCUCUUAAAAUAAAGCUGAAAGUCUACACUUCGAUCACAUCUUGAUUGUUUUAUUUCAAAUCCAUUGUGGUGGUGUAUAAAGGCAAAAUCACAAAAACUCUGCCAUUGUCCAAAUACUUCCAGACCUGACUGUAUGUACAUGAGAGUAAUGGUUUUAUGUCUGGCAUUUUAACACAAUCACACGGCAAAAAAUGGAAAGCUGUUGCAUAUUUCUCUAAGCAUCUCAAUCUGAAUGUGUGGAUAUCCAUCCUAUAAGAUCUCCACCCUAUAAGACCUCUGGCAGACGCCACAGAAGCUGUCUUUGGUCUUCUGACUUAGUUGACUUACCUUGAGAUCCAUGUGCCACACAAUGUGUAUAAAAUUAUUACAAGUGUUACAGUGGGUCAGCAACCAAAAUGCCCCUUACUGCUGCGGCACACAUAAAUUUAUAUGUGGCAUAAAGGGGUGCGCCGCUUGUAAAGAUUCUCUUUUUAUUAAACCUCAAUUAGAGCUGUACUUCAAUGGAUGGGUAUCAACGCGUGGGGGGCAUUCCUUUUCAUUUUUCUUCGGUGAUUUCACCGGAUCCGAGAGUGGGCAAGAAGUGCAGCAAGCGAGCUGAUUGUGUGUCUAUGUGAGAGAAUGUUGCCAGCACUGAUGACAAUCACAGAGAACACAGAAAAACAUUAAAAACAUUUAGAAUGGUAUAAAUGAUGUUAAAAUUAUGAUUUUUUUUUAAAUAGACCUUAAAAAUCAGGUUUUAAAUUCAUGUGGCAUUCAUGUAAACAAUUUAUAUUUUUUGUAUUAAAGAAUCCCAUUUCUGCUGCCAUCACAAAAGUGAAAAAUUUUGUUUUUUCAAAAACGCUAGUGUUUGGUUGUCAUGGAAAUGAAAAAUGACAGGAUAAGAGGAUUUCAAUUAUUCUUAAAGUUUUCUUAACAAAAUAUUUCUUAAACAACAUAUGACUAUUUAUGCUUGGCAAUGUAUUUGAGCUUAUGUAUUAAUAACAGUUUGAGUCUUGGACAGGAAACUGUAUAUUCCUUAAGUGUCUUAAGGAAAGACAUAAGAUGUAAUCAGGUUUUACGAAUUAAAUUUAUUCAUACAAAGAAAAUGGGAACAUUACAUCAAACUAUUUUUUUUCCCCAAAGUAAAAAUAUUUACAUGUUGGUUAAAAAUGCAAGUGCCUGUGGGUAACAGCGUUCCUUUAGGAGCGUAAGAACUCGUUGACUCUGUCUUUGAUGUGCUUUCAGUCAGUGUUGGUCAUGUGGGGGAACCUCUGAGAAACGUUCUUCAAGACAAAGUGCCUUAGGAUUAGGGGCAAUGCAGAUUUCCCCCUCGAACCAUCCCAGCUGGUGGUCGAUGCCCACUCUUUAUACAGCUGCUCUGGUAAAAUGGUACGGAACAGCAAACAGCCAUAUCGGUCCAGCCGUCCCCGAUCAUUAGGAUCUCUAGGUGCUCUGGUGAGGGACAAGAAAACUGGAGUUCAGGAUGGCAACUUCCAGCUGGUGUUGUUGGCGUUGGACCCGUGGUGAUGACAGAAGAUGGUGUUUGCCUAUUGUCUGCAUCUCCAUUCAGGCUAGCAGCGACCUCAGUCGAACAGUCUGAUGUUGGGGGACGGGUAGAGUCGAGUUGAGUCCUCAAUGCCUCUUUUGCUGUCUGCUCCUCUCUUAGCCUAGGGCCUACACGAGCCUGGUGUGUGUUGUUUUAAAAUCUGCAGUAGCUGCUUUUGCGUCUGCAUAUGCCUCCCUGCAGACACGAAGCUCUCUCCUCAGGGCCUCAAUCUCAGCGUUCUGCCUCACUAGCUCACGCCUCAAAGUCCUCCACCACAUUUUUCUCUCUCUUGGCAAUGACACAAAACAUACAGCAGCCAGACAGUGUAUUGCUGAGGAGGGGGUCGACUGGGUGAAAACACCAGCCAAAUCACCAGAUCUCAACCCAGUUGAGCUGGUUUGGCACGCACUGAAGGAACUCGUCAGAUGCAAGACCAAGCCAGGGAGUAAAGAUGAGCUUCCUAAGGCCAUAGUGACUUUCUGGACAGACUAAAGCAGCCUGCCACAGAUACAUCGAGCACCUUCAGAAAGUUAUGCCAGCUGUAGUUGAGUGUAAUAGAGGCUCAUCUGGAAUGUAGCAAAUUUAUUGUACUGUUGCCAUUAAUUAGUAAAUAAACUGCUUGACCACAA